UACGGAAGGCAGCAGUGGGGAAUAUUGCACAAUGGGCGCAAGCCUGAUGCAGCCAUGCCGCGUGUAUGAAGAAGGCCUUCGGGUUGUAAAGUACUUUCAGUCGUGAGGAAGGUGUUAAGGUUAAUAACCUUAGCAAUUGACGUUAGCGACAGAAGAAGCACCGGCUAACUCCGUGCCAGCAGCCGCGGUAAUACGGAGGGUGCGAGCGUUAAUCGGAAUUACUGGGCGUAAAGGGCACGCAGGCGGUUAAUUAAGUUGGAUGUGAAAUCCCCGGGCUUAAACCUGGGAAUGGCAUUCAAGACUGGUUUAGCUAGAGUCUUGUAGAGGGGGUAGAAUUCCAUGUGUAGCGGUGAAAUGCGUAGAGAUGUGGAGGAAUACCGGUGGCGAAGGCGGCCCCUGGACAAAGACUGACGCUCAUGUGCGAAAGCGUGGGGAGCAAACAGGAUUAGAUACC
This 454-nucleotide ribosomal RNA is filed under the name uncultured bacterium. Its description in RNAcentral is "bacterial SSU rRNA". It matches the Rfam family "Bacterial small subunit ribosomal RNA", at positions 340 to 786 of the family's 1533-position model. The record is from RNAcentral.